GUCGGAGUGGCGGAACCGGAAGACGCGCAGGCCCUAGGAGCCUGUGGGGUAAACCCGUGAGAGUUCAACUCUCUCCUCCGACA
Molecule: transfer RNA, 83 nt
Filed under: Patescibacteria group bacterium
Lineage: Bacteria
Description: tRNA-Leu
Rfam family: tRNA
About the family: Transfer RNA (tRNA) molecules are approximately 80 nucleotides in length. Their secondary structure includes four short double-helical elements and three loops (D, anti-codon, and T loops). Further hydrogen bonds mediate the characteristic L-shaped molecular structure. tRNAs have two regions of fundamental functional importance: the anti-codon, which is responsible for specific mRNA codon recognition, and the 3' end, to which the tRNAs corresponding amino acid is attached (by aminoacyl-tRNA synthetases). tRNAs cope with the degeneracy of the genetic code in two manners: having more than one tRNA (with a specific anti-codon) for a particular amino acid; and 'wobble' base-pairing, i.e. permitting non-standard base-pairing at the 3rd anti-codon position.
Source: RNAcentral